GUUGAAGCUUCCAAUUUCUUAAAGGUAUAAAAGGGGAGAAGAAAUUAAUGAACAAGGAGGAGAAUAAUCUGAAUCUAACAUUGAUCAUCUGAAUCCUUCUUCUCCCCUCCAAUACUAAUUCAUGGCAAUUUCUGCAAAUUUGUCCAAUUAUGGUACCCUUCCAACUUCAACCCCACCAGCAUCACCACAAACCACACCUCAUUCCGCAAGAAAACCACCUCGUCCACCGUUACCACGACCACCACAACCACAACCACAACCGCCGGUGCGGACGUCGACGGUCACUAGAUCCGACCCGGCAACACGUCGUUCAUGGCGUGUGUUCUUUGACUACAACAUUAUGUCUCUUCCGUAUAACUAUUCUGAAGCGAUUACCCGGGUGAGGAGGAACCUUAAUUAUUUCCGUGUCAAUUACGCUAUGAUAAUCCUUGUUAUUCUAUUCAUCAGCCUUGUCUACCACCCUAUCUCUAUGAUUGUCUUCUUGGCUAUUUCUGUAGCUUGGUUUUACUAUUUCCGUGAAGAAGCGAUUGUGAUUUCGGGAACCCAAUUGGAUGAUCGGCUUGUUUUGGUUGGGUUAGGGUUGGUUACUGUUGUUGCCUUGGCGCUUACUCACGUGGGUCUCAAUGUUUUGGUUGCUUUGAUUAUUGGGUUUUUCGUUUUGGGAAUCCAUGGGGCGUUAAGGGGAACUGAGGAUUUGUUCUUGGAUGAGAAUGAGGCUGCGGAAGGUGGGUUGCUUUCGGUUGUCAGUGAGGAACAAAUCAG
Molecule: unclassified non-coding RNA, 762 nt
Filed under: Hevea brasiliensis (rubber tree)
Lineage: Eukaryota; Viridiplantae; Streptophyta; Magnoliopsida; Malpighiales; Euphorbiaceae
Source: RNAcentral